This is a long non-coding RNA of Bubalus bubalis (water buffalo), 2633 nucleotides long. RefSeq lists it as uncharacterized. Lineage: Eukaryota; Metazoa; Chordata; Mammalia; Artiodactyla; Bovidae. The transcript is spliced from 2 exons. The record is from RefSeq and is a predicted model, not a curated record.
CCCAACCCAGGGAUCAAACCCAGGUCUCCCACACUGCAGGCAGAUUCUUUACCAGCUGAGCCACCAGGGAAGCCCUCCAAGGGAGAAUACAAAUACUUGCCUAUCAUGGAAAAUAGCAAAGUGGGAGGAAAUCUAAGGGGGAAAAAUCUAGCCCAAUAUUCCUUUCAAGGGACUUUCUUAGCCACAGAAACUUUUAUUCACACAAAAUCUCACAUAAGGGAGUUCAAUGAAUAUCAAAAAAGCAGAGUUAAACUGCACAUCUCUUCUCAUGACAUUCCCCACUUGACAGCCUGUGCAACCUGUGAGGACUCACUAGGGUCUUCAGAGUCCAGAUUGGCAUCUCCUAAGCUAGUCGUCCAGCCUCAGAGACAGAGUCUGUUAUUUAUUCACUUAUCCAUCCAUCCAUCCCUUCAUUUCCUUCUGUUCUCUCUCCUUCCCUCUCUUUCUUCAAACAUUUUUUUAGCUCCAACUGCAAGUCAAGAACUAACAUAAAGAUAAGUAGGACCUGCCGGAAGGACGCCUAGGUGUCUAAAUGGGGAGACAGAUUUGUAAACAAACGCUUGCAGCAACUUGGCAGUUAUCUUUAGAGCUCCGGGGCGGUGCAGGGAACAGCAAGGUUACCAAGAAAGGAGAGGGCAGUUGGCUUUCCAGUCAGUGCCCAAAAUAAGUUGCCUGAAUUCCCUAGCCGCUGAGAUUGUUCCCUACCCUGCUGCCGCUAAAGGAAUAAAAGAGGAAGCUUUUCUGUUAAGAGCCUCCACCCCCACCCCCAGGCCUCCAAGCUCAGCCAUCACCCCCAGCGGUGCUGAGAGCCCCGAGCAGGCGCUGGGCGGUGAAGGGGGAACGGGGAGGGGUUUGCAGGGCCGGGAAAUCCCACAGCUGCUGCUGCUGCACAAUGGGCAGAGCCAGCGCGUGCACCCUGGUUCUUUUGUCCCAGGCUACUGGGGAGUUCGGAAAGCCAUUGUGCCCUGAGAUCUUUGAAUGACCUGGUCACUCAUGAGUAAACCUUAGAGAAACUUGGGCUUUCUUUCCCCAGAAAUGAAUCGAGCCCGUUAGUUAGUAGAGGAAGGGGCCCUCCACCCACUCCAGAGCUUUCAAACUGAUCCCUUGUCUAUACUUGAACCUUAAGGCAUUUUUCUUUUCUUUUCUUUUGAUAGGAAAACAGAAAAGAGAAGGAGUCCUUUUUUCCACUGCUCUGGGAACAAGCCUUGUUCUGCCUUCUUUCUAGAAGAGACAGACAGGUUACCCUCUCAUCGUUAUAAUUUUAUCUCCUUCUCUAGCUGGGUGAGGCCGAUGCUCACUGACACCCUACUGUCAGUGAGAAAGACCUUUCCCACUGCCUUUCCUUUGGGGUAGGAUUUUGGCCAUAAGAAUGAAAACAUCUACAGAAAAGAAGGAAGGUCUGGGCUGGAGUAGUCACAAAGGGCUUUAUUCCAGGGUUAAGACUUGAGUUAGGUCUCAGGGAUGAGUAGGGUUUAGUCAGAGGAUGGGGGCUGGGCUCUCCAUGGACCAUGUGAGCCAAAGCAUGGAGGGGGUGAUGAGGAAAGCAAAGACCCACCACCAGGUGGGUCUGGAACAGCUCAUCUCUGGAACAGAGAUGAGCUUAGAUCAUGGCUCGGCCCCACUGAAAAGCCUCCAGGAGCUCCCUAAGCCACAGGGCCCAUAGCUGGACCCCAGAGCCCUCCAUGACCGGGAUCCGCCUGCCUCGUGCCUGCCCAGGCCUAUGGGCCAAUCUCCACCUCCACUCCGCCCUGCAGUCCCACUGAAGAGAGCUGCACUGGCCGCCUCCCGGGCCUCUGCCUCUUUGUAAAUGCUGACUCUUCUCACUGGGGCCUUCUCCCCUCCUUUGCCCAUCAGCAGAACUUCUGCUUGAUCUCAGCUAGAUGUGACCUUUGCAAAGCCCACCUGUCCACUCCCUUUAUAACCCCAAGCAGUUAACCCCCUUCUCCUUACUGUAGCCCACCAGGCUCCUCUGUCCAUGGAGUUCUCCAGGCAGGAAUACUGGACAGGAUUCCCAUUUCCUUCUCCAGGGGAUCUUCCCAACCCAGGGAUCGAACCCCCGUCUCCUGUGUUGCAGGUGGACUCGCUCCUGUCUGAGCCAGCAGGGACGUCCCCUUACACUCCCAGCUCCUCUUUACUUGAAUUUGUUUCUCUGUCAGACUGUUGUGUCUGUACAUCCUUGCCCCUAAUCCAACCUCCCAUUCUCCAUCCCAUACCCUUCCGCUCGGAUUUCAGGAAUAAUGAAUUUCACUUAUAUCUUCAAUCCCCUCCAGCCCAUUCUCUCCAGCUCCAUCUAGUAACAGACCUACCGCCAGCCUGAGCUGACUGCUUCUCCCAAAGCCUUCUCACGUUCCUUUCGGACUCCUCAAGGUUCCAAGUCAGGCCAAAGGGAAAACAACAGAGCAAUGAGACUCAGUGGGAAGAACUUGGCUCCUGUCUCCCGCAUAGGUGUGGCAGCUAAUUUUCUCUCUGUUAUAAACUUAACCCAUGCCAGGACUCUUGCCAGGGUUUUCCACUAGGGACAAUGAGAGGCCUUCCUACAAGGCUGUGUCAUGGUUAGCACCAUCAUUGUUCUGUGGCUCAUGCAGUAUUUGUAUUUUAAGGCAAUAACACUAAUAAAUAAUUAUAUUAAAUAG